GAGACAAUUCCAGUUGCCAGACUUGUCAGGUACAGACAUAAACAACAGAGAUUAACAUCCAAUACAAUAAAGGAACAAAUACAGAAUUUUAUAGGAGAAUUGGAAUUGUUAAGAAAUGAAAUGGAAACUUUAGGUAAGAGAUUGUUAUAACACAAAUACAAGAAUUAAGUAGAUGGCCAGGGAUUUAGCUCAGUGGUUUCACUGCCUACUGCGCAAGUGCAAGGACCCAAGUUCGAUCCCUGGUACCAAAAGAAAGAAAGAAAGAAAGAAAGAAAGAAAGAAAGAAUUAAGUAGAUGGGCAUGAGAGGAGAUUGGAUCUUGCAGAAGAGAGGAUCUAUAAACUGGCAGAUGAUCAGUGGGAAAUAUCUAACUUCAAAGGUUAAAAGUCAAAAUGGUGAAAAGUAUAGAAAAGUGGGUAAGAGAUUUAUAGGGCAUGGCCUUAACAUAUGUGUAAUUGGAGUCCUAGAAAAGAGGAGAGACUGAAGUAGAAGCAGUGGAAGAAAUGCUAAUGGCUGAGAAUGUUCAGAAACCAAUAAACAACAUCAAGUCACACAAUCAAAAAGCACUCUCAAUCCGAAGAAGAAUAAGCACAGUGAAACCACAGACACAUGGUAGGAGAGGUAUGGAAAACCAGAGAGAGAGAGAAUAUUAACAUCCUGUGGAAAAUAAGGACCUUGACUUCAGAAGAGAAGGACAUGACCGACAGCUGGCACCCUAAUGGAAAAAUCAGAAUCUGGAAGACUAUACCUGCCAACUAAGAAUUCUGUACCCAGAACACAUAUCCUUUAAAGGAACUUGUAGCACUCCUUGCUGGUGUACACGGACCACUGCUCUCCACCCGACGGCAGCACCAGGCACAAAUGCACGUGAAACUCCUGCAAGUCAUAAUCUAAGUCUCAACACAUGUUGAAGGACUGGAAUCCUUGAUAAGAAAUAAGAAGGCUUUUCUUUGGUAUCGGGAAUCGAACUCAAGACCUUGCACCUUCAAGGCUACAGUGAUUUGGACAGUGCUGUGCCAUCUGGACUUAAACACAUGGGUCGGAGCGGCAUAGCUGCCGGCCCAGAGAGCGAGCUGCCAACCACCCUGGUCCCCGUGCAGGACAGCCAGGAAGUAGAGAGCGGUCAUGUCAAUAAGGGAAGUGUUUCAACUGGUUGUUUGUGUACAAAAAGGUGAACCUGAGCCUUAGUUACAUCACAAGCAAGUGUCAAGUGUGGAUAGGUUACAUGUCUGAAUGUAAAAGGUAAAACAAUAGAGCUCACUGACAGCAGCGCAGGAGAGGGUAUUCAUGACUUCGAAGUAG
This 1301-nucleotide long non-coding RNA is filed under the name Heterocephalus glaber (naked mole-rat). RNAcentral's name for it is "lncRNA (ENSHGLG00000048634.1)". The record is from RNAcentral. Lineage: Eukaryota; Metazoa; Chordata; Mammalia; Rodentia; Bathyergidae.